CCUGGGUGAUGAGAUGCGACUACUUGACUUCAAUCAUGGAGGUCUGCAAUUAGCUCUAUCUGACU
Molecule: small nucleolar RNA, 65 nt
Filed under: Gavia stellata (red-throated loon)
Lineage: Eukaryota; Metazoa; Chordata; Aves; Gaviiformes; Gaviidae
Description: Small nucleolar RNA SNORD44
Rfam family: Small nucleolar RNA SNORD44
About the family: U44 belongs to the C/D class of snoRNA which contain the C (UGAUGA) and D (CUGA) box motifs. Most of the members of the box C/D family function in directing site-specific 2'-O-methylation of substrate RNAs.
Source: Rfam by way of RNAcentral